Non-coding RNA from Triticum aestivum (bread wheat), 139 nucleotides. Lineage: Eukaryota; Viridiplantae; Streptophyta; Magnoliopsida; Poales; Poaceae. The record is from Rfam.
UUAAUACUCCCUCCGUUCCGAAUUACUUGUCUUGGAUUUGUCUAGAUACGGAUGUAUCUAGACUCGUUUUAGUGCUACAUAUAUACCUCCGUAUCUAGACAAAUCUAAGACAAGUAAUCCAGAACGGAGGGAGUACCUG